ACCGAUUGGCCAGGCCAGUGAAAGGAAAAUGAAGAAAAGGCUGCAGACUACACGUUUCCGAAGAAGUUCAGUGCAGUUAUUUGACAUAAAGCACUAACUGUUUAAUACUUCAUCACAACUACAGUCCUUUCUAAAACGAUAGUGCUUUUAAGAAAAUAGGCCCUACGUAAAUGUUGACCAUAUAGUUUAAAACUACGGUGAGGAUCUGUUGAGCUCGUGCCGAGAGCCUCCAAAAGUCUGUCUAUGGUUUUCGGCCUUGUUUUGGCUGACAGUGAAACAUGACCUCUGCUGACCUCAUCUGGACACAGCCCAGCUGUCUGCACACCACCUGGACGUCCAUCAUGUCCCAGGAGUCUCCACACACUGUCCGCCAGGAGCCCCCGCGGAACACCUCCAGCCUCCCAGAGCACCCGCCUUCACCCCCCACCAGCCGGAGGGGCCAGUGACCUAGAGCAGGAGACACAGAUGAGCUGAGCAGCCUCAUUACCUUUACCAUCUCCUACAGACACAUCUCCACUAACACUAUGACUGACCUCAUUACGUUUAGCAUCUCCUACAGACACAUCUCCACUAACACUAUGACUGACCUCAUUAUGUUUAGCAUCUCCUACAGACACAUCUCCACUAACACUAUGACUGACCUCAUUACGUUUAGCAUCUCCUACAGACACAUCUCCAUUAACACUAUGACUGACCUCAUUAUGUUUAGCACCUCCCACAGACACAUCUGCCCUAAUAUUAUGGCAGACCUGACGUAAUGCUUUCUGCUUUGCCAAAGCAGAGUGGAUUUGUGGCUGUGGAUGCAGCCUGCUCAACAUUUGCGUUACGUUCAGUAGACACUCUUAUUCAGAGCGGCUUACCACAGGAUUCAACCAAAAAAACGUACUUGUGCAAGCUCCCUGAUUUGCUGCUGAGGAACAUGACAAUUUGCUUCGUGGAACUUCAUCAUCCUCUUCCCCUUUGAUGUGAAGAGAAAAAAAUAAAUAAAUGAACUACAAAUUUUGAAAAAUUUUAAAACACGAAGACAGAAACAGGUUCAUUCCAUAUCAGAAACAAACUGCACUACUUAGAGCUUCAAAAAAUCUCAUUCAUGGGGUUACACUAAAAACCUUUUAAAAAAUCACAAUCCAUAGUUUUACCAAUUUA
Molecule: long non-coding RNA, 1146 nt
Organism: Anguilla rostrata (American eel)
Lineage: Eukaryota; Metazoa; Chordata; Actinopteri; Anguilliformes; Anguillidae
Exons: 3
Source: RefSeq, a predicted model, not a curated record